RNAcentral lists this long non-coding RNA (361 nucleotides) under Pan troglodytes (chimpanzee). RNAcentral's name for it is "long non-coding RNA NONPTRT012964". The record is from RNAcentral. Lineage: Eukaryota; Metazoa; Chordata; Mammalia; Primates; Hominidae.
CACGAACUGCAGACGCUGUCUCUGGCGACAAAGGGGCACCUGGUGGAGGAUGUUUUUCGAAUAAGAGGUCCGGAGAGCAGAGGGACGAUGACGGGUCCGGAGAGCAGAGGGACGAUGACGGGUUCCCAGUCGCCUGCGCCCUAGCCUCUCUUCAGUCCAUGCGCUUAACUCCUAAACGCUUUUCUCGCACACUUAAUACUCAUUGUUCCUCAGCUAUCUUACCCUCAAUACUCGGAGAACUGAAGACUGUGAACUCCUCCCCCCGAGUCUUCAGGGGUGAGAGCCGAAGCCAUCUGCAUGCCCAGCUGUGGGAUUUUCUUGUAGUUUCCUGUUCUAUCUGGCUAAAUCAUAAGCCUAGCUG